RNAcentral lists this ribosomal RNA (459 nucleotides) under uncultured bacterium. RNAcentral describes it as "partial 16S ribosomal RNA". It matches the Rfam family "Bacterial small subunit ribosomal RNA", at positions 338 to 795 of the family's 1533-position model. The record is from RNAcentral.
CCUACGGGUGGCAGCAGUGAGGAAUAUUGGUCAAUGGGCGGGAGCCUGAACCAGCCAAGUCGCGUGAGUGAAGACGGUACAGCGUAUCGUAAACCUCUUUUGUCAGGGAACAAAGGCGGGGACUAGUCCCCGGAUGAGGGUACCUGAAGAAAAAGCAUCGGCUAACUCCGUGCCAGCAGCCGCGGUAAUACGGAGGAUGCGAGCGUUAUCCGGGUUUAUUGGGUUUAAAGGGGGCGCAGGUGGCCUUUUAAGUCAGCGGUAAAAGCCCGGGGCUCAACCCAGGAGAGCCGUUGAAACUGGCGGGCUGGAGUGGAGGUGAGGUACGCGGAAUGCGCGGUGUAGCGGUGAAAUGCUUAGAUAUCGCGCAGAACCCCGAUUGCGAAGGCAGCGUACCGACUCCACACUGACGCUGAGGCACGAAAGCGUGGGUAUCGAACAGGAUUAGAUACCCCAGUAGUC